RNAcentral lists this ribosomal RNA (266 nucleotides) under uncultured bacterium. RNAcentral's name for it is "partial 16S ribosomal RNA". It matches the Rfam family "Bacterial small subunit ribosomal RNA", at positions 9 to 266 of the family's 1533-position model. The record is from RNAcentral.
GAGUUUGAUCGUGGCUCAGGACGAACGCUGGCGGCGCGCCUAACACAUGCAAGUCGAACGGAGUUAUUUGAAAGCUUGCUUUUGGAUAACUGAGUGGCGGACGGGUGAGUAACGCGUGAGUAACCUGCCUUAAAGAGGGGGAUAACGUCUGGAAACGGACGCUAAUACCGCAUGACAUACGGACAUGGCAUCAUGAUCGUAUCAAAGGAGCAAUCCGCUUUAAGAUGGACUCGCGUCCAAUUAGCUAGUUGGUGAGGUAACGGCCC